GGGGAUGUAAUGGUUUCGACGGGGAUUUUCGAAAUGUGGGUAGCCAUUGGUAGCGGUACUACCUUAAAAACCAAAAACGUUUAUAAAUUUAAACGACAACGAUAAUUUUGCAUUUGCUGCUUAAUUAAAGCAGCUGUCAACCCUAAGUUGCUUACCGCUUAGGAUGUUUGGCAUCGAUUAGGUGAGGUACUUUCCCGCCCAUGUUUCUAAGCGGGGAAAGAUCCUAGAAACUACCCUUUUUAUAUUUUUUUUAGCUUAUUAUAUUAAAGGGGAAUUUUAAAAACUAAAUAUAAUGGUAGAAGCCUGCGUGGGUAGGUUUUCGGACACGGGUUCGAUUCCCGUCAUCUCCAUCU
Molecule: transfer-messenger RNA, 353 nt
Filed under: Clostridiales bacterium
Lineage: Bacteria; Bacillati; Bacillota; Clostridia; Eubacteriales
Rfam family: transfer-messenger RNA
About the family: Bacterial tmRNA, also known as 10Sa RNA or SsrA, is named for its dual tRNA and mRNA-like properties. Its role is to liberate the mRNA from a stalled ribosome. To accomplish this part of the tmRNA is used as a reading frame that ends in a translation stop signal.
Source: RNAcentral